CAGUUAUUGGGAUCCACCACAGGAAGCCACGACAAAUGUCCCGCUGGGUAGCAACUUGAAAAACUUUUUUUGGAAGUGUUGUGAACGCAGCCCGCUGGGACGAGGCAGCCAGCCAGGCCACCGUAGGUCCCAUAAUAGAAGUCACGGGGACAAGGAAAGUGGGUUGUAGUCCUCCUGUCAGACUACAGGCCAUAGUUCCGGCAGUGUCAGCAGAAGAUGUUAAUGCCGUGUUCGAGGGUUUACUCAGAAAUUUCAGGGGCGGAGUGGAAAAAUGGAUUAAGGCAAAACUACUGAAAAGACUGGGAACUGUCACUUACCUAAACCAAGAGGGACAGAGACAGUGCACCGUGCAUGUGGAUCACAUGUUACCAUGGCGAGAGAACAUGGAGAGACUGCCAGUUAUCUUGUCUCCACCAGUUGCAGAAAAUGUGCCAUCAGUACAACUGGACAGUGCUGUUUCAGUUCCAUCACCAAGACCAUCAGUGAGUCAGACACAAACUAGUCUCAUCACUGAACCAGAUUCAAGGGCUGCUGAGUUGCCAUCAUCAGAACCCAGAUCACCCACAACAAAAACCCCACCAGUGAUCCGCAGGUACCCAGAAAGGGUUCGAGCACCACCAAAAAAACUGAAUCUCUGAAGACAGUAUAAAAGUCUCUGUUAAAGGUGUAUAAAUACUGUUUGUAUAAUAUGUAUGUUAUUGUUUACAAAUGAGGGUUAAGAGUUCAGUACUAAAAAAAAAAGAAUAUGGCCUAAGUACAGUUUUUUAAUUGUGCUGCUGCAUUUUUUUUUUUUGGUUGGGUUGUUAUUUCUUUUGAGUAACUUCUACAUUUCUAAAAGGGGAGGAAUGUAAUAGAGUGAUCUAUGUUUGUCUGUUGCCAUCUCCUGGUGAAUGUUGGCUAUAGCGUACUGGGGUUACUUUUUGGUUGGCCAACGAUUUACGU
Long non-coding RNA from Entelurus aequoreus (snake pipefish), 942 nucleotides. RefSeq lists it as uncharacterized. NCBI's taxonomy places the organism in Eukaryota, Metazoa, Chordata, Actinopteri, Syngnathiformes, Syngnathidae. The transcript has 3 exons. The record is from RefSeq and is a predicted model, not a curated record.